UGAGUAAUAUAUCGGAACGUGCCCAGUCGUGGGGGAUAACGCAGCGAAAGCUGUGCUAAUACCGCAUAUGAUCUCUGGAUGAAAGCGGGGGACUCGCAAGGGCCUCGCGCGAUUGGAGCGGCCGAUAUCAGAUUAGCUAGUUGGUGGGGUAAAAGCCCACCAAGGCGACGAUCUGUAGCUGGUCUGAGAGGACGACCAGCCACACUGGAACUGAGACACGGCCCAGACUCCUACGGGAGGCAGCAGUGGGGAAUCUUCCGCAAUG
Molecule: ribosomal RNA, 265 nt
Filed under: uncultured bacterium
Lineage: Bacteria
Description: partial 16S ribosomal RNA
Rfam family: Bacterial small subunit ribosomal RNA
Source: RNAcentral